CUCCGCUGACUGGAUAGGGCGUUAUAUCAAUUCCACUGACCUUAACAUCGUACUUGGCCUUUUUAUUGCAAUACUCGAAAUCGGUGGAUUCAGCGGAAGUGAGAGGAGAGAGAAGACAUAGGAAUAACAGAAGACCAACCUGCAAAACCAAAAAAAUAAUUUCAUCAGUUGCCAAAUAAUAUCAGAAUUAUCUAUAAUAAAGUUUCCUCAAUGUUUCCCUGAAGAAUAUUUUAGACGGAUUCAUCACUACUAAAAUGCUCAAUUUCACUGGAAAAAUAUCUUCUUAAUACAAAAAUAUUGUUUUAAAAUCUAGAAGUUAAUUCUAUACACCUUCUCAGACAUUUAGGGUUAAGAAAAAAGCGAUCUUUGAUUUUUUUUUUUCAAAGUUACUACUUAUAAUACUACAGAGUGAUUAUUGUGAUCAUUUAGCAGUAUGUACAAAAUUACCACUUAUAGCAGGUUUUUCGUGAAGUACAACUCAUAGCUUGUCAUGUAGUUUGUAAAUAUCUAAUAAAUUAUAUUUCAAAAAGAGAAAGAAUUUCUAACAAACUUAAAUCCGCAAGAUGGACUUCCUCCAAGAGUGAAAAAGAUAAUAAAACAAAGCUUGUACAAGCUUCCAACUUUAGCAAAGAAUAUUAAUUCAACAAAUCACCAAAAAUCAGAGAGUAAAAAAUAGAAAAAGAAUAAAAGGAAAAGAAAACCCUAAAAAUUGAAAAACGCAAAUGGGUAUCUACCAAACAGAUUCAACAGACAAUCAAAAAAAUGAUCCAACAAAAUCUACAUUGGAAAAACUAAAUCAACAAAAUUUGGGUUGCGUAUUGAAACAGAAAGAAAGUCAAAGGACUAAAAAGGAAAAACUCACUGCAAUACUCGAAAUCGGUGGAUUCAGCGGAAGUGAGAGGAGAGAGAAGACAUAGGAAUAACAGAAGACCAACAAAGAGUUUCACGGCAAUCAUUGCCAUUUGAUCGGAGUAAAGCAAAGGACGGAUACAGAUAAAGAU
This 1001-nucleotide long non-coding RNA is filed under the name Nicotiana benthamiana. Its description in RNAcentral is "long non-coding RNA (NBEN_LNC024799)". The record is from RNAcentral. Lineage: Eukaryota; Viridiplantae; Streptophyta; Magnoliopsida; Solanales; Solanaceae.